RNAcentral lists this ribosomal RNA (397 nucleotides) under uncultured Lactobacillus sp. RNAcentral describes it as "bacterial SSU rRNA". It matches the Rfam family "Bacterial small subunit ribosomal RNA", at positions 144 to 525 of the family's 1533-position model. The record is from RNAcentral. Lineage: Bacteria; Bacillati; Bacillota; Bacilli; Lactobacillales; Lactobacillaceae.
UAACACCUGGAAACAGAUGCUAAUACCGGACAACAACAGAUGAUGCCUAUCAACUGUUUAAAAAAGUAUGGUUCUGCUAUCACUCUUGGAUGGACCUGCGGUGCAUUAGCUAGUUGGUAGGGUAACGGCCUACCAAGGCGAUGAUGCAUAGCCGAGUUGAGAGACUGAUCGGCCACAUUGGGACUGAGACACGGCCCAAACUCCUACGGGAGGCAGCAGUAGGGAAUCUUCCACAAUGGACGCAAGUCUGAUGGAGCAACGCCGCGUGAGUGAAGAAGGGUUUCGGCUCGUAAAGCUCUGUUGUUGGUGAAGAAGGACAGGGGUAGUAACUGACCUUUGUUUGACGGUAAUCAAUUAGAAAGUCACGGCUAACUACGUGCCAGCAGCCGCGGUAAAU